RNAcentral lists this transfer RNA (99 nucleotides) under Ceratocystis platani. It matches the Rfam family "tRNA". From Rfam's summary of the family: Transfer RNA (tRNA) molecules are approximately 80 nucleotides in length. Lineage: Eukaryota; Fungi; Ascomycota; Sordariomycetes; Microascales; Ceratocystidaceae. The record is from Rfam by way of RNAcentral.
UCCUCUGUGGCGCAAUUGGCUAGCGCGUCUGACUGUUAAGAUCCUCUCGGAGGUAUAGCGGCAAUCAGGAGGUUGACAGUUCAAGCCUGUCCGGAGGAG